This 465-nucleotide ribosomal RNA is filed under the name uncultured bacterium. Its description in RNAcentral is "bacterial SSU rRNA". It matches the Rfam family "Bacterial small subunit ribosomal RNA", at positions 338 to 795 of the family's 1533-position model. The record is from RNAcentral.
CCUACGGGUUGCACCAGUGGGGAAUAUUGCACAAUGGGCGCAAGCCUGAUGCAGCCAUGCCGCGUGUAUGAAGAAGGCCUUCGGGUUGUAAAGUACUUUCAGCGGGGAGGAAGGCGAUAAGGUUAAUAACCUUGUCGAUUGACGUUACCCGCAGAAGAAGCACCGGCUAACUCCGUGCCAGCAGCCGCGGUAAUACGGAGGGUCCAAGCGUUAAUCGGAAUUACUGGGCGUAAAGCGCACGCAGGCGGUCUGUCAAGUCGGAUGUGAAAUCCCCGGGCUCAACCUGGGAACUGCAUUCGAAACUGGCAGGCUGGAGUCUUGUAGAGGGGGGUAGAAUUCCAGGUGUAGCGGUGAAAUGCGUAGAGAUCUGGAGGAAUACCGGUGGCGAAGGCGGCCCCCUGGACAAAGUCUGACGCUCAGGUGUGAAAGCGUGGGGAGCCAACAGGAUUAGAUACCCCCGUAGUC